RNAcentral lists this ribosomal RNA (253 nucleotides) under uncultured bacterium. RNAcentral's name for it is "partial 16S ribosomal RNA". It matches the Rfam family "Bacterial small subunit ribosomal RNA", at positions 524 to 776 of the family's 1533-position model. The record is from RNAcentral.
UACAGAGGCCCCAAGCGUUACUGAGAAUCACUGGGUUUAAAGGGUGCGUAGGUGGCGCGUUAAGUCCGUUGUGAAAUCCCUUGGCUCAACCAAGGAAAUGCUUCGGAUACUGGCGUGCUUGAGGCCGGUAAGGGUCACUGGAACUGACGGUGGAGCGGUGAAAUGCGUAGAUAUUGGGAAGAACACCGGUGGCGAAGGCGGCGAGCUGGUCCAUUACUGACGCUGAGGCGCGACAGCGUGGGGAGCAAACAGG